CAAUGGACGAAAGUCUGACGGAGCAACGCCGCGUGAGUGAUGAAGGUUUUCGGAUCGUAAAGCUCUGUUGUUAGGGAAGAACAAGUGCAAGAGUAACUGCUUGCACCUUGACGGUACCUAACCAGAAAGCCACGGCUAACUACGUGCCAGCAGCCGCGGUAAUACGUAGGUGGCAAGCGUUGUCCGGAAUUAUUGGGCGUAAAGGGCUCGCAGGCGGUUUCUUAAGUCUGAUGUGAAAGCCCCCGGCUCAACCGGGGAGGGUCAUUGGAAACUGGGAAACUUGAGUGCAGAAGAGGAGAGUGGAAUUCCACGUGUAGCGGUGAAAUGCGUAGAGAUGUGGAGGAACACCAGUGGCGAAGGCGACUCUCUGGUCUGUAACUGACGCUGAGGAGCGAAAGCGUGGGGAGCGAACAGGAUUAGAUACCCUGGUAGUCCACGCCGUAAACGAUGAGUGCUAAGUGUUAGGGGGUUUCCGCCCCUUAGUGCUGCAGCUAACGCAUUAAGCACUCCGCCUGGGGAGUACGGUCGCAAGACUGAAACUCAAAGGAAUUGACGGGGGCCCGCACAAGCGGUGGAGCAUGUGGUUUAAUUCGAAGCAACGCGAAGAACCUUACCAGGUCUUGACAUCCUCUGACAACCCUAGAGAUAGGGCUUUCCCUU
This 660-nucleotide ribosomal RNA is filed under the name Bacillus sp. (in: firmicutes). Its description in RNAcentral is "bacterial SSU rRNA". It matches the Rfam family "Bacterial small subunit ribosomal RNA", at positions 369 to 1020 of the family's 1533-position model. Lineage: Bacteria; Bacillati; Bacillota; Bacilli; Caryophanales; Bacillaceae. The record is from RNAcentral.